This 3403-nucleotide long non-coding RNA is filed under the name Gossypium barbadense (sea-island cotton). RNAcentral describes it as "long non-coding RNA (GBAR_LNC015809)". The record is from RNAcentral. Lineage: Eukaryota; Viridiplantae; Streptophyta; Magnoliopsida; Malvales; Malvaceae.
CAGUAGUACACAAAAUUCACAGAAUCAUGGUGUUUCCAACAAUUAUACAUAUGCAUGCUCGAGAAUGACAAUGUAAUAAGGCCUACCUAUUCAUCUGCUACACACCACACGUUCCCCACAACUCGUCUACCGAAUCACCAAAAUAAUUUAGGAGCUGUUGCUCAGUGUGGGUAAACCACCAAUAACGAUUUACAGUCAAGCUGCCAAUAAUGUGGAUGAACCACAGAAAUGCAAAUAAACAACCAAUAUAAGUGUAGACGAGCUAUUAGAAAAUAGCGAUAAGUUGCAGGUAAGCUGCUAGAAAACAGUGUCACAGUUUUCAGCAUGUUUUUCCACGCGUCAAUGAUCAAUAUCCAUUAUACAGUAAACAUUACAAAGUAUAUCACAACUUACAUAAACAAUCAGAAUUAUGACACAUACUUGUACAAUGCAUACAUCCCAUACACAAUCAAACAAUCCUCAAACUGUACCUCUUAUAUACGACUUACCUAUUUAAGUACGUACCUUAUUUGGCACACCAUUUAUUUGAUUUUCGGCCAUUCGGCCAUGCCACAAACAACAAGCAUAAUUUUACCAAUUUUCAUCAUAUAACAUUAAUUUAUAACUAUUAACACAAAGGUAAGACUCACACACGCAGACACCAUUCACUUAGAUUAAGGGUCCCUUUGGAUUCUAACGCACUACAGUGCGUUGAUAAAUUUCCCCUUUAUUUUCAAUCGGACUGCACUGGGAUUGGACUGGACAGCCUUUGGAACAUUUUGCUUCUAGCACAGUGAGGAGCUUCUACCGCACUGGACAGCCUUAAGCUGACUGGUGGUAAAAGCUCCAGCUGGGGCAGUAGACAUUUGGGAAGACAAUAAUACCCAUACUUGGCUUGGCUGAUGCAAAAUACUCAGGUGUAUGUAUAUAAACACACACAUUUAUAGAAGCAGUAUAUGAACGAACAUUGAUAUUUUAUACAUGUUAUGUUAGACAUAAGUGAGAAAACACCCUAUAUUUUAAUCCAAUCAACAGCAGUAAAUACAUAACCAUUGAUGUUUAUAAACAAAGGAAAGAAAUUGAAAAACCCAGUAGGUAAAUCGUCAACAUAACUGAUGAGCAUUUUGAGUUUGCUGCCACCUUCAGAAACAAAACAAGAAAAAAAAAACGAACCUUGGUAUGAGGCCAAAGUUGAUCAGGAAACACAUGCAUUGUGCAACCUUCUUUACCCGAUUCCCACUCCACAACAUGGUGCUUGCUAAGACACCUGAUCCAAAGCAAAACCAGAAACAAUCCUACUGCCUCAAUUUGAAGAAGUAAUCGUAAAUGGGAAUGGGAAAUGGGAAUGAGAAAUGGGAGGAGGGGAAUCGAUGGAAGAGGGGAAAUGGGAAUGGGAAAUGGGAGGAGGGCACGGUGGAAGAGGGGAAAUGGGAAUGGGAAAUGGGAGGAGGGCACGGUGGAAGAGGGGAAAUGGGAAUGGGAAAUGGGAGGAGGGCACGGUGGAAGAGGGGAAUCGAUGGAAAAUGGAAGAUGAGAAUGGGGAAAUUGCAUUGUAUUUGUGUAUUUUAAAAAUAAAAAAAUAUAUGUAAUGUAUUUUAAAAAUAAAGAAAUAUAUGUAGUGUAUUUUAAAAAUAAAAAAAUAUAUGUAGUGUAUUUUAAAAAUAAAAAAUAUAUGUAGUGUAUUUUAAAAAUAAAAAAUAUAUUUAGUGUAUUUUAAAAAUAAAAAAUAUAUGUACUGUAUUUUAAAAAUAAAAAAUAUAUGUAGUGUAUUUUAAAAAUAAAAAAUAUAUGUACUGUAUUCGGUUUAUUCGAAUUACUUGAAGCAUGAAGAUCCAAUAUUUUUCUUGAUUCGCAUACUAAUUUUGAACUUAAAUCAUGAUAAUAAAAAAUUAUGGGAUUUGUGAAACAAAUUAGGGAAACAUUUCUUGUGAAGAUAUAAAACAACCCCAAAUGUACAGAGAACUUGAACCAGUUGAAUCAAAGACUCUAGUGUAUUUUAAAAAUAAAAAUGGCCAAUAUUAAGAGAUAUUCCAAGUUAUUCAUUCGACAAGCAAGUUUUAAUAGUUAUUGCAACAAUGGUUUUGCAUAAUUACAUUCGAAGACAUGCUUGGUCAAAUGAUGAGGAUGUUCGAGAAUUUGAGAAUAUACCGGACAUGCCAGUCUCUUCAAGCCAGUUUGACAGAGGUGAAUCGAGUUCUUCUAACAGAGAAAGUGAUCUUGAAAUCACAAUGUUAAGGGAAACCAUUGCAACUAGUUUAAUGAAUCAAUAUUUGUAAACACAUUUUGUAUCAUAACCUAAUUUCUAGUAAUAAUGAAACUUGUUAUGUCUUAUGUUACUAUAUUUUUUUAUUAAAAAUCAUCCGUUUAGAUACUUCAAAAUUUGAUCCAAGUAUAAUGUUAUUAUUUGUGAAAAUAAUAUUUAUCAUUGUUAUAAAAAAUAUUUAAUUAUAACUAUAAAAAAUUAAAAAUAAUUAUCAUUUUAUCUAAUAAAGAAUUUAAAUUAAUUAUAUAAUUCAUUAAAAUAUUGGAAGAUACAUUUUAAUAUUUUAUUAAAUAAAUUUGCAUAUUUUAAUAAUUUUAAAAAAGUAAAAUAAUUUAAAUAACUUCUAUUAUAUAUCAAUUCUAAUAUGAUGUCCUUAAUAGUCAUUUUUCAUUCUUACCCCAUUCCACCAUUGUUUCUAAUCUCACCGCUACAGUACCCAAUCUCACCGCUACAGUAACUAAUCUCACUGCCACCGCUAUUUUUAACCUUACCGGAGGUAAACACACCGCCCAUCCAAACUAGCCCUAAAUCCCACACCUUAGUUUCAGAAAUUGUAGAACUACCAAUCUGCACCUUCGCUUCUAAGCCUUAGAUGAGCCUAGAUACAAAAAUAACACUUAAAACCAGUAACUAAAAAUUAAUCUAAGGCCUUAGAGCAUUCAACCAAAACAACAACCAUUAACAGAAUAAAAUCGACACAAAAUCUUGCUUAAAUCCGCACUUACGCUAUCAUCGUUACUAGAUCUGAGAUAACGAUUGGACAAGACUAGAUGCACUAUCAAUUGGCAAGAUUAGGGGUUGUUUUAUCAGUGGAAAAAUCAAAGAAAUCACUGCUAUAAGGGGUGGCAAAUGAAGAGAAAACAACAGUCCAAAUCAAUGGCGUUCCAAGGGUGGUAACACCACAAACGGUGGUAGAAAAGGGGCUGACUAGGGCGACACAAAGGGAGAUCUUUGGGCAGAAAAUGGGACAAUUUUUAGGGCUAGAAACAGAAAUAGCAGCAAACAUCGACAAACAAAAGGAAAGAUAAGAGUAGGAAAAGAAAACUAACCAGUAUCACCACAAGUGAGGGAAAGGGGGCGGCAAUAGACAACAAAGGGAGGCUGAUUUGGGUGGCAUAAAGGAGAGUUUUAGGGCAGCAAAGAGGUUGAUUUAGAGAUUAA